CAAUAGGCUAUUAUUACAAAUCAGCACAAUUACUGUAAUAAAGUAAAACCGUUGUGGGAAACAAAACCCCUCAAAACCCUACUACUCCGGCCCCCCGUCCAUGGCCUGAUUCCUUCCGCCUCGCCGCCGCCGGAGGCGGUCAAACGAUGCUAUCCCUCCCCCCGCGCCGCCACCUCCUCUUCCUCCACUGCUCGCGCCGCCGGCGCCCUGCCCUCCUCCCGCUCUCCGUU
Molecule: long non-coding RNA, 230 nt
Filed under: Oryza brachyantha (malo sina)
Lineage: Eukaryota; Viridiplantae; Streptophyta; Magnoliopsida; Poales; Poaceae
Description: long non-coding RNA (OBRA_LNC001773)
Source: RNAcentral